AUUGAACGCUGGCGGCGUGCUUAACACAUGCAAGUCGAUCGGUAACAGGUGUAGCAAUACAUGCUGACGAGAGGCGGACGGGUGAGUAAUGCUUGGGAAUCUGCCUAUUAGUGGGGGACAACCCGGGGAAACUCGGGCUAAUACCGCAUACGCUCUACGGAGGAAAGCCGGGGACCGCAAGGCCUGGCGCUAAUAGAUGAGCCCAAGUCGGAUUAGCUAGUUGUAGGGUAACGCCUACCAAGGCGACAAUCCGUAGCUGGUCUGAGAGGACGACCAGCCACACCGGAACUGAGACACGGUCCGGACUCCUACGGGAGGCAGCAGUGGGGAAUAUUGGACAAUGGGGGCAACCCUGAUCCAGCGACG
RNAcentral lists this ribosomal RNA (366 nucleotides) under uncultured bacterium. RNAcentral's name for it is "bacterial SSU rRNA". It matches the Rfam family "Bacterial small subunit ribosomal RNA", at positions 30 to 396 of the family's 1533-position model. The record is from RNAcentral.